RNAcentral lists this ribosomal RNA (403 nucleotides) under uncultured bacterium. Its description in RNAcentral is "bacterial SSU rRNA". It matches the Rfam family "Bacterial small subunit ribosomal RNA", at positions 362 to 757 of the family's 1533-position model. The record is from RNAcentral.
UAUUGCACAAUGGGCGCAAGCCUGAUGCAGCCAUGCCGCGUGUAUGAAGAAGGCCUUCGGGUUGUAAAGUACUUUCAGUUGUGAGGAAGGGUGUGUAGUUAAUAGCUGCACAUCUUGACGUUAGCAACAGAAGAAGCACCGGCUAACUCCGUGCCAGCAGCCGCGGUAAUACGGAGGGUGCGAGCGUUAAUCGGAAUUACUGGGCGUAAAGCGCAUGCAGGUGGUUCAUUAAGUCAGAUGUGAAAGCCCGGGGCUCAACCUCGGAACUGCAUUUGAAACUGCUGAACUAGAGUACUGUAGAGGGGGGUAGAAUUUCAGGUGUAGCGGUGAAAUGCGUAGAGAUCUGAAGGAAUACCAGUGGCGAAGGCGGCCCCCUGGACAGAUACUGACACUCAGAUGCGAA